RNAcentral lists this ribosomal RNA (305 nucleotides) under uncultured bacterium. Its description in RNAcentral is "bacterial SSU rRNA". It matches the Rfam family "Bacterial small subunit ribosomal RNA", at positions 338 to 658 of the family's 1533-position model. The record is from RNAcentral.
CCUACGGGGGGCAGCAGUCGGGAAUAUUGCGCAAUGGAGGAAACUCUGACGCAGUGACGCCGCGUAUGGGAAGAAGGUUUUCGGAUUGUAAACCAUUGUCGUUAGGGAAGAAGAAGUGACAGUACCUAAGGAGGAAGCUCCGGCUAACUAUGUGCCAGCAGCCGCGGUAAUACAUAGGGAGCGAGCGUUAUCCGGAUUUAUUGGGUGUAAAGGGUGCGUAGACGGGAAUACAAGUUGGUUGUGAAAGCCCUCGGCUUAACUGAGGAACUGCAACCAAAACUAUAUUUCUUGAGUAUCGGAGAGGA